UACGUAGGGGGCAAGCGUUGUCCGGAAUUAUUGGGCGUAAAGAGCGUGUAGGCGGUCCGGUAAGUCAGCUGUGAAAGUCAAGGGCUCAACCCUUGAAUGCCGGUUGAUACUGUCGGGCUAGAGUCCGGAAGAGGCGAGUGGAAUUCCCGGUGUAGCGGUGAAAUGCGCAGAUAUCGGGAGGAACACCAAUGGCGAAGGCAGCUCACUGGGACGGUACUGACGCUGAGACGCGAAAGCGUGGGGAGCAAACAGG
RNAcentral lists this ribosomal RNA (253 nucleotides) under uncultured bacterium. RNAcentral's name for it is "partial 16S ribosomal RNA". It matches the Rfam family "Bacterial small subunit ribosomal RNA", at positions 524 to 776 of the family's 1533-position model. The record is from RNAcentral.